GGGUGUUGCUUGGCUGUAUUUUGCAUGUUGUGUUGCAAGGACUGCCAUGAGUUUGGAGGAGCAGAAGUGCAUCUAGACAGUGGAAUUCUUUCUGGGUAGAGAACUAAACAGCUAAUGUGCUUCAAGCUGUAGCUUCUUGCUGCUUGCAAAGAAGUUUCCUUUGCAUGUGUUCUUCAUCAAACAAUGCUUUGUUUUGACAUUUACUGUCUAACUGCAGCUAAGAGUCACAGUCACAACCAGUAUUUGUAAACAGAAGGCAAACUGAGCGCUGGCUUUCCCUGCCAGCUGCUGUUAACACAUUUACAGUUGGCUUCCCACUUGUGAUCCUUCAGAGGCCCAAGAAGGAUUUUGGGCCUUCCUAAUGAUACAUACUGUAAGCUGAUUGACCAGCUUCAACCUCACAGCAUUCUUUACUGACAUUAAAAGGGCAGAUAAAGGCCGUGCCAAACAUUUCUGGGCAUACUUGUGUUAUUUUUAUUAGGCUUUGAAUUAAGGUCUGCGAUUUUUACACUUCUGACAUUCAUGGACUAAAGUUACACUUCCUGAUAAAUCAAGUAAGUUGACAACACCAAUAUUAAAGAAAUAUCCAUGUAUGUGCAUAAUAGCCUUGUAAAAUGUAGUUGUCUAUAAAAAGGCAUCCAAAGGUAUCAUUGUUCCAAAGGAGAUUUAGACAGCAGUUUUACAUCAGCAUACUUUCCAGAGCUCACUAGAUCUCCUGCUUUGCUUUUACAAGAGAAUAACACCUCUCAUCUGCAGAGCACAUCUGUUGUUCGCUGCUGCAAACAUCUUGCAUUUCUCAUGGUCCACUGCUUUCAAAGCUGAGUUUUUCAAAGGCUACCAAUUCCACCAGCUUAUACCAGCUUCCACAUCUGCUGCUUUGUCCCCUGGCAGAAACUAGGAGUUGGUUUUAGUACAUGUUUUAAUAACGCAUGCUCACUGUUGAAAGGCCUGAUUUCUCUAAUUUCCCUUCUUACUGGAGCACCAAGCUUCUUUGCAGGGGCACAAAAGCAGCAGGGGCCAAAGUAAAAGCAAGGCAUUACUUAGGCUGCAUUUUGCCAGAUACCAAAUGCAUAAAAUGGGGCAUUUGUGGUGGUUUUCUAAACCACACAGACACACAUAACAGAGACCUGUGUGGAAUGUCCAUGUGAAUGGGAAGAUGCAUGUGAUUUCAGGAGCUUAUUGGUUAACUUUUGUCCCUUCUUAGUUUUUAGUAAAUGACACUACUUUCUUUUUUAAUCCGUUUUUAGUCUCAUUAGUAAAUAGGUGGUGCUAUAUUCCAAGAGGAGAAGGGAUAGCAGAGAUGUGCUUUAAUUGGGUGAGAUGCAAAGUCUCAGUCCCUUGAAGACUGAGUGUGCCUUUUCUAGGUGUUGUAAUAGAUUUGAAUGCAGCCCCUCCUUUUAUUUAUUUUAACAAACUAUUUCCUACGAAUGGAACAACAGCUACUGUUCUAAAGGCAAACCAAAACUGUUUUGAGCCCUAUAUUGGUCAUCUACAUUGUUGGAAAUAGCCGCAGGUGCGUGUUUGGAGAUAACCUGACCAUAGGUGUGGAGGUCUGUGCUUGACAUCCUGCACAGACAGUCCUGUUGAGGUUUUCUCUGUCCAAGCCCAAGAUCUUACCACAGUUUGGUGGUACUCUGUCUGCCCCCAAACCGGUGAGGUUAAUGGAUACCCUUUCUGUGAUGUACAGGAUGACUUUGUUUUCCUGUGUCCUCUUGUCCGUGAGAUGCUUAGUGUCUGUCCACUCCCAAUAAAUAUAGCCAUAUGUAUAUACAUAUGUAUACACACACGUGUUUUUAAUUGGAGAAUGUGGCACUUAACAUCAGUGCCUCAACUUGCCUCAGUUUAACCUUCUGUUGUUUUACAUGGGUAUAUUAUGAGUGAUUGCAGAAGUUUGGGAUUUGGUCACUGUCUUUAAUUACUGUGAGUGUCUGCAGUACAGAGAAAAGUAACUUUGUACCUGCUCCUUAAAUGGUGCUGAGACUUUAAGGUAUAGAAGGAUAGCCAGUAAAAGUACAUGGAGCAGGGGGAUGAGGUGCUAUUUUAUAGAACAGAUUUAUAUGAAGAACAUCUGGGUAAAACACAACUCGGAUGUGGUGCGUCGUCAGACACACCGACCAUAGGACAGAUGAUUUUUUUAAACGAGGCUUUCCUCUCAUUGGUGACCAUAGAGUUUCAAAAUUCUGACUUGGCCUGUCAGUUUUUACAGUAGGCACUUUCUUCUUCAGUGAUGGCAACUUCAUAUGAGAGGAGGGAGAGGAUUAAUUCAGAAGAUUUCAGCUCACUGUGCUGGGAGGGACCAAACUCAAGGAAACCUCUGAUCUAUAUACACAACUGCUGCAUUUUUUAUAAAUAUAUGUAAAUGUCCUAUUGUAAUAUUUGAUCCUGGAAAUAAAACAAACUGUUUUAAG
Molecule: long non-coding RNA, 2408 nt
Filed under: Strigops habroptila (Kakapo)
Lineage: Eukaryota; Metazoa; Chordata; Aves; Psittaciformes; Psittacidae
Description: lncRNA (ENSSHBG00005000525.1)
Source: RNAcentral